Molecule: long non-coding RNA, 2368 nt
Organism: Nicotiana tabacum (common tobacco)
Lineage: Eukaryota; Viridiplantae; Streptophyta; Magnoliopsida; Solanales; Solanaceae
Source: RefSeq, a predicted model, not a curated record
GUAAUAAAUUUCUUCUUCUUUCAUUUACCGAUUAAUUUAAUUGAGAAACCCAAACGUUUCAUUCUUCCUUCAUUGGUAGUAAUAGCCCAUUAAUUUCUACCAAAACCCUUUCUUCUUCCUCUUUGAUGACAACAAUUUCAAUGCUAAUAUCUAUUUUUUUAUCUCCACGGAUCAAAAGAGACUUCCACUUUUCCUCCAUCCUCCAUGGAUAAAAAGAGAGUUCCACUUUUCUUCUGAAACCCAUCAAAGUCCCUGUCAAAAUUGCACUGUAUGUGAUAUGACUUGGAAUUCAACUCAAGUUGGUAAUUUAAGGGGCGGAAAGAUGGGAAAAACGAUCUUGGACUUUGUUAUCAAUACAUACCCUCACCAAAAUUUCAAGCUUUUGGUCAUCUAUCUUCACUUUCUCUUGCACGUUCAGUCACAAAUUAGAAGAGAAUCAUUUUUUCCCAGUUUUUGUAGCUAUAGAUCAACCAUUGUUAACAUUCGUUUGCCUUAUAUUUAAUUCACUUUUUUUGAACCGUUGUUUAUAUGCCUUUUUGAAGAAGGACAUAUGUAUUGUCUUUUCAGCGGACUUCACAAAUUGUGCUUAUGGCGCCGGAAGAAGAGAAGAAGACUCACUCGAUUUCCCCAUUCUGAGGUUCGGAGCACAUUAAUUUUUGUUAAGUUAUUUAACUUUACUUGCAGUUGUGUUCUUCUACCAACAAAUUUUAAAGAAAUUGGAACGAUUUUUCUUUUUUGGAGAUAAUAGCAGCUAUUCGGAGUUGCCCUUUACUUUGCGCUAAGAGAAAAACUUAACCGGAAAAGGGUCAAAUAUGUCCCUAUACUAUAGAAAAAGGUCUAAUAUUGCGCUCUGUUAUAUUAUCAGUCCAAAUAUAUCCCUAACGUCAUACUAUCGGUCCAAAUAUAUUCCUGACAUUAUAAAAGUGGUACAAACCCACCCCUCCUCCAUUAAUUGACUCCCUAUGACAACAUUUCAUUGCUACAUCACCAUUAUACUUCCAUUUUCAUCCCUUACCCACAACCUUUCUUUCCCUUUCAUUUGAAGAAAAUCACAGAUCAUAGAUAUACAAACAAACUGUAUCAAAAGAAAUGCUAAUAGCUAAAGAUAAUAUGAACAACGUGAACCGAGAAAAUUCUAAUUUUGCUAUUCAAAAUUCAUGCUUAUACGAACGAAAAUACAUUUUGUAUUAUAUAAAAAACUAAGCAAAGAUACAUGCAAACUAGUUUAAGGUUUCAAAAUUGACCAUGGUGAGAAAGAAAAACAACCUAGACACGAGAGUUAAUAUUUUUUGUUUCUUUCUCUUCAACCACAUAUCUGGAAGGCUACCAUUUUUUCUCUCUUUAGGUUUUAUGUUAAAAUAAAUGUCCUACUAAAUUUUCCCUAAAUAGGUCUUACAAAUUCAGCGGCAACACAAGGAAAUGCAAAAUAAAAUACAAAAUUGUAAGAUCAAGUGAAAGGUACGUACAAUUCCAGGAUCGGCCAGAGAAGCAACAGGUAUUUUGAAAAGCAAGAGGAAGUAUAGGCAGUGAAGUCUUCAAAAUAAUGAUAGAACUUUAGAGUAAUUGAACUUGGUAGCUGCAAACAGGGUAAAAUGGUGAGGUAGCAAUAAAAUGUGUUCAUAGGGGAGACAGUUAAUUGAGGAAGGGUAGGUUUGUACCACUUUCAUGAUGUCAGGGAUAUAUUUGGACCGAUAGUAUGACGUUAGGGGUAUAUUUGGACUGAUAGUAUAACGGAGGGUAAUAUUAGACCUUUUUCAAUAGUAUAAGGACAUAUUUGAUCCUUUUCCGAAACUUAAAUGUAUAAGACAAAAAGAUAAUUAGUUUAAUGUAGACAUAGUUUUUGGUUAUAUUAUUGUUAAUGAUUGUUGUUUGAAUAAUUAAAAUUGUGCUAAUGUCCUCAAACUGCCAUAUCCCACCAUAAUAUAGAAUUAUUCUCAAUUAUAACUUGGUUUAUUUUCAAUCAUCUUUUUUAUCUUUUAUCCCCGAGAGGACACUCCAUUUUAAUCUUCACGUAAACACAGUUAUAAUUCUUAUAUUUAAUUCCUUUAUCCUAUUUAAAAACCUUGCAUAAGCUUCACGUUACGAAGUAAAUUCUCAUUAGUAUACUACAACUCUGUCCCCCUAACUUAGAGGUGAAAGAUUUCGUUGGACUUGGAGGUAGAAUGCAAAAAUUGAAGGCCUUUUGGGAUUUUCUUUUUUUAAUAGCAAGUGAAUUUAAUCAUUUUUCUUGUGAAGGAGUUUGAAAUAAGAGCAGUAUAGUCUGACAGCUUCUUAGUUAAGAGUUUGUAUCUAUAUAAAAUUUAGUGUAGCACUUUUUUUGAACUAUGUACACUGAUAGAGAGUAGCCAGGAACUUUAGAUUCUUUCAA